Molecule: ribosomal RNA, 219 nt
Filed under: uncultured bacterium
Lineage: Bacteria
Description: partial 16S ribosomal RNA
Rfam family: Bacterial small subunit ribosomal RNA
Source: RNAcentral
AACGAACGCUGGCGGCGUGGAUAAGACAUGCAAGUCGAACGGGAUUCUUUAGUGCAGCAAUGUAUUGAAGGGUUCAGUGGCGCAAGGGUGCGUAACACGUGGGCAAUCUGCCGAAAAGUGGGGGAGUAGCUCGCCGAAAGGACGAAUUAAUACCGCAUGCGGUUAGCAGGGGAAGUCCCCGCCGAUACCAAAGUACGGUUGCAGCAAUGCAGCUGACGC